Molecule: ribosomal RNA, 253 nt
Filed under: uncultured bacterium
Lineage: Bacteria
Description: partial 16S ribosomal RNA
Rfam family: Bacterial small subunit ribosomal RNA
Source: RNAcentral
UACAGAGGUCCCAAGCGUUGUUCGGAUUCACUGGGCGUAAAGGGUGCGUAGGUGGCGGAUUAAGUCGGAUGUGAAAUCUCCGAGCUCAACUCGGAAACUGCAUUGGAAACUGCUCUGCUCGAGGGUUGGAGGGGGGACUGGAAUGCUUGGUGUAGCAGUGAAAUGCGUAGAUAUCAAGCGGAACACCAGUGGCGAAGGCGAGUCCCUGGACAACUCCUGACACUGAGGCACGAAAGCUAGGGGAGCAAACAGG